AAUCUCCUCAUCAAAUGAAACAGAUACUUUACUAAACAUACAAUAGCAAGAAGUUUUAUAAGCAGCAAAGCUUUAAAAGAAGUAUACUCUAAGUGAUGGUGGCUCUUUUGUGAGGUUGUCAUGCCAUAUCGGAUGUGGGUCGUACAUGUGGCAUUUAGACUUGGAAGUACCAAUCUUAUAAUCUGAUCUAUGUAAGUACCAAUCUUAUAAUCUGAUCUAUGUAAGCUCAUAAUAUAAUUAGAAACAUUCUAGAUUUGGGUGAUUCUACCUAAUUUCAAGAAACUCUAAUCAACACUACAAAUACAUUUAUGAAAUGACAGCAGCACUUACGUUCCAGAGAAUGCCAAAAUUCCGGUGCUCAAAAGGCCUCCAAAGUCCAAACUACAACCAAAUACAAGAAUAAAAAAUCAAAUAAACUACGUUUACAUAUAUGAUAUACGUAUACAUUCUAAAAGAUUACUAGGCAAUAAUCAAGGAACAGGACCUCAGUUGGGUUGUUUGGUGACAGGAGCAGCCAACAGGGCAGCUGUAUGAACCAAAUGGCAGAGAGAUGCCGUGUGACAAACCUUCCAAAUAACAUAAAAAAAUGGUUAAGAAAGCAAGUUGGGUUUCUCUUGGGAUUAACAACAAACAGGUAGUAGGCGUUACAGAAGAUGGAAACUGAAAGUUACCUCUUUGAAGUUGGGUUUUGGGUUUUGAAGCCAAGGGCACCAUAUGUCCCCAACCCAAGAGCUAAUACUCCUGAUUACGUGUUUCUAAAAAUGGGGAUUUAUCACAGAAAUCAACAGAAAUCUCAAAAUCAGAAAUGUAUCUAUAGAUACAAACAAAUACGUGCUUUAACUGUAUGUAGAGACAGAGACAGACAGAGGAGAGAGAGUGUGUGUGUGUGUGUGUGUGGUGGUGGUGCGUGGGUGGGGUUGGGGGGGUUGGGGGUUUACCAUAUCUGAGAAGCCAGCAACUUUGUGCCAGAGUAGAGGAUUCGUUUUUCUUCAGUCUCAAGUUCGAAGCUUCAUGAAUCGGAGAUCUGGAAAUAAAACGUCGUCGUUUCCGUUUCUUAAGCAUUGAUCGCCUUCUCAUUAUAAACGGCACCGUUUUGGAUACUGAACACUUUCC
Molecule: long non-coding RNA, 1113 nt
Filed under: Actinidia chinensis (golden kiwifruit)
Lineage: Eukaryota; Viridiplantae; Streptophyta; Magnoliopsida; Ericales; Actinidiaceae
Description: long non-coding RNA (ACHI_LNC000343)
Source: RNAcentral